GGGGGGGGGGGGGGGGGGGGGGGGCGCGGGCAGGGCGAGCGGCAGCACGGGUGCUUGCACCUGGUGGCGAGUGGCGAACGGGUGAGUAAUACAUCGGAACAUGUCCUGUAGUGGGGGAUAGCCCGGCGAAAGCCGGAUUAAUACCGCAUACGAUCCACGGAUGAAAGCGGGGGACCUUCGGGCCUCGCGCUAUAGGGUUGGCCGAUGGCUGAUUAGCAAGUUGGUGGGGUAAAGGCCUACCAAGGCGACGAUCAGUAGCUGGUCUGAGAGGACGACCAGCCACACUGGGACUGAGACACGGCCCAGACUCCUACGGGAGGCAGCAGUGGGGAAUUUUGGACAAUGGGCGAAAGCCUGAUCCAGCAAUGCCGCGUGUGUGAAGAAGGCCUUCGGGUUGUAAAGCACUUUUGUCCGGAAAGAAAUCCUUGACUCUAAUACAGUCGGGGGAUGACGGUACCGGAAGAAUAAGCACCGGCUAACUACGUG
This 486-nucleotide ribosomal RNA is filed under the name uncultured bacterium. RNAcentral describes it as "partial 16S ribosomal RNA". It matches the Rfam family "Bacterial small subunit ribosomal RNA", at positions 38 to 507 of the family's 1533-position model. The record is from RNAcentral.